RNAcentral lists this long non-coding RNA (6860 nucleotides) under Triticum aestivum (bread wheat). Its description in RNAcentral is "long non-coding RNA (TAES_LNC004860)". The record is from RNAcentral. Lineage: Eukaryota; Viridiplantae; Streptophyta; Magnoliopsida; Poales; Poaceae.
AACAAGCCUCUCCUCCGGGUGAUGCCUUCUUUCGGGUGGCCUUUCUGCGAUCGUCCAUGCGUGCGUGUCCAUGAAUAAAUCUCAGCUUGUCUCGGCGAGCUGGGUGCGAGUCCUUCUUUGUUUUUUGUAUGAUUAUUACCGAACCUGUGUGCACGCGUUGUUGUUUCUUGUUGGGUUCGUCCUCAGAGUUGCUGUGAGGUUUAUGGGAUUAUCCCAGUCAAUCCUUCUCUCAUGUAAAAUUUUUAUUUUCGGCAAAUCAUGAGUGUUGUAUGCGUGUUCCCUCAGUAACUCACUCGUUGUGUAUACAAUUGGACAUGCAUGUCACAUGGUGCCUGUAGUUGUGAUGUGCACGCUGUACCUCCGUGUGAUCGAGAUCGAUCGAUAUGAUCGAUGCGCCAUGUGUGCAGUGGCAGCUGACACCCGGCGCUACGCAUGCGCAAGGACCGCUGCGAGACCUGAGCAUUUCUUGGGCCGGGCUUUAAAAGGCCGAACCCCACAAAUCUAAGCCUGAGCCAUGCCCGGUCCUGAAUAAGCGAACACUAUUCUAUUUUUUUCUAUCCCCUUUUCGGGUAAUGAAUAGUACUUAUCUUCCUAUUGAAAUUAAUAUAUAUUAACACAUGAGUAUGAUUUUUAAUGAAACCUUAUUUUUAGUUUCUUAGAACCACAAUGUAGGCUCAGAAGCUCACAAUCACUAUAUAUGUGGCAAUUUCCCAAUAGAAAAAACCCAUGUGUGCCAACAUUUUUUAAGAAAGAUAUUGAUUUCCAUUUCAUUAACGAAACCCCCGCAUGUCCUUACAAGAUACAAACUACUAAAAGAGCCAUGGAGGCCUUUAUUUUGAAAAUUUAAAUAUCCUAUUUUUUCAGUUUCAGAAAAUUCUGAAAAACAUACACAUGUAUGCAAGGAUGUAAUGUGUAUGUGUGUAAAAUUUCAGUAUGAAAUUUCUUGAUUUACGAGCUGCAAUUUUUUUUAUGGACUAUGAGGAUGAACAAUACAUAUGCUAAAAAGCCCUAGAUUUGUCUUUUUUUUUCUGUAGUUCUCAUUUUAACCUAUUUUGACCGGAAAAUUUGCACACAUGUACAUUGUGUAUAUAGGUAUACGUGAAUUUGUUUUCAUAAUUUUUUGAAACUGAAAUACGGUUAAGUGUACGUACGAAUCUACAAAAUACGUACAAGGUAUUUGUAAAUGAUAAAAGUACUACAACAACAACUCAAAACAGGUGUUCGACGGUGGACCUCUUUCAUUUCGCAGGAACAUGGGAAUUAUUAAUGUACAGUAAUAUAUUUACAAUCAUGAUUGAGCAACUCAGCAACAAACAAAGGGGCCUCAAGCAGCCAAACAUUAGCCUCUACACCCGCUCCUAGCACUAGCAGCUCAUGCAAGUUGGUGAGCUGCUCUGUGUCUUCCUCUGUUUCACAAACCUGAACCGAAAUUCAGAAAGUUCAGCCGCAGUAUCUCUAACAUCAGCAAGCAGGUGUGCAUGGCGCGACCAUAAGUUGAGAGCCUGACUCCACUUGAGGCCAAACUGUUCCCGGGCAUUGCUGGGAUCUGCACAUGUUCCCGGGCAAACUGCUAUGCAAACAUGCAGGCCAAACUUCACCGGGUGGGCACGCUAGAAAAAUCGUGCUCGUGUCCACCGGCCGUAUCGAUGCGUUCGGGAGGGAGGAAGCGGCCAUCCGUCCAGUCAUCGGCGUCGCAGACCACGCGGAUUUGUUGUAGCAAUCCAUCCACCUUGCUUGGACACAAAGUUCUGUUAGCGAGCUUCCAGCGCCGUGUCCUGGAGCAACGGACGGUGGCAAUUGAAGCACGCGCAUACGUGGGAGGGAUACUACCCUACCCUACCCUACCCUACUUGCGGGUUGCGGCCUUUUCCUCUUUGAGAAGACGUGCACUCCGACUGCUGCAUCGAUCGUUGGUUGUGACUCGUGUGACCCCAUUGGCAUCGGUUCUAUAUAAGCUGGGGGUGCUCGCACAGCAGCUCCGUCACUCAUCCCACCCUGAUACCCUCGUAACAAACAAGCAGUCAUCGAUGGAGGCUCCACGCAAGCUCGUCUCCGCCGCGCUCCUCCUCGUGCUGCUGCUCGCGGCCACAGGAGAGAUGGGAGGCCCGGUGGCGGUGGCGGAAGCUCGGAAGUGCGAGUCGCUGAGCCACAGGUUCGCGGGCCUCUGCCUGCGCGGCCACAACUGCGCCAACGUCUGCCGGACCGAGGGCUUCCCCGGCGGCAAGUGCCGCGGCGCCAGCCGCCGCUGCUUCUGCACCACCCACUGCCGCUAGUAGCCUAGCUGCAUGCAUGCAUGCUGGCACCUUUGUGCGUGUACCGUGUCCGUGUCCAUGAAUAAACCUCAGCUUGUCUACUAUCUUGGCAUGCAGGCCGAGCUGGGUAUAAGAAGCAACUUCUCCUUGUGUCCGUUCGAUGUUUGGGUUCGUCCUCAAAGUUGCAGCGAGGUCCCAUGUUUCCUUUCACGUGUGUUGUGUGCGUGUAAGCGUGUUCUCCCUCUCACUUGCUCUGUACACGAAACGACGUGCAUGUCGCAUGCUACUUCCGUGUGAUCGAAAGCAUGUUUUUUUGUUUGUUUGAGAAAAGUGUGAUCGAGGCAUGUGUGCAGCAAGGAACUUGACAGCUGCCACCCGGCGCUGCUCAAUGCUCAUGCACGAUGGACUGGCCACGCGUAAAAGGUCCCGGCCUCUAGGAGUGGGAAGUUAUGGUCACGGGCACCAUGGUCCCCUUUAUUAAAAAAAAACAUAUUAAGAAGUAAAAAAAUUAUCUGUGGAAACAUGUAUGUGUGCACUACGGAUCCAUGAAAUUUUGUUUUGAAAAAAUGUAAUGUGUAAGCUGUAAAACAUAAUCUGGCCAUAUACUGAUUGACUUUGUUCCAUCGUUGAAAACCUCGUAUAUAUUCUGUAUAUUCGAUCUAAACCAUUAUGAUCGUGCGUUAAGCAAGACUUGACUUGUUGCCAUGGAGGAGAAAAGAAUUGCUUGGAGGAGUGAUUUUGCAUCUCCCUAGCUACAAACUGCAUGGGUAGUGACCCAGAUGAAGCCAAGUUGCAAGUCCGUGCAGUUAUUAUGGCCUAAUUAGUAAAGUCAAACACGAGUGUCCUAUGAGCAGAGUUCUGUAUACUGUCUGAAUAUCGCUAGGCUGUUUCUGCAAGUUACAAAGGGCAUUUUGGUUUGAGAGUUAUGCAUCGGCCCCAUGUGUGUUUCAUACUACCGUUGAUGAGGAAUCCCCACAUCAUCACACCGAGAUCAUGGUAGGGUCUUGAGCAACAUGAUGAAGGACUCAUGCCUCGGCAGAGUAAUCAAUUCGUUGAUGCGAAUUAGGUGGCUCAUGGGGCCUCUGGUUUAGCCAGUGGAGUGCCAUAAUUGAGCGUCACUGCCCUAACAGACGCAUACUGUCAGGCUCGUCAGCAACCUUCCAGAACACGAUGGGCUGGGCGUUAUGAUUACCGUUUAGGCCAGACAAGGACAAGGACGGCCUCGUUAGUAGUAGAAGACACCAACCAAGUAAUUAUACUACGUAGUAGACAGCCAUGUCUUGUGAAACUCUUAAGUAUCCACAUGCGAAAGUAAAAUGUUGUGAAAUUUUGCACAUACAUAAUAUACAUGUGACUGUGUUUACAAAAAAUUCCAAUUUUUUGGUGUUUCACCAGCGCUGGUUAAACGUGUCCCCGCACGUAAACCAACUGGGCCGGCCUAUAAUGCAUUGAAACAUUCCUGAUUUUUGUGCAGCUUUGUGGCCAAUUCUAAGAAGCUUCUAGAAGCACCGAACAAUUUUUGGGAAGCUUCUGACCGAUUUUUUUUCUUUUCUUGGUUUUUUAUUUUUAUUUUUUAUUUUCCUUUUUUCUUCAUUUUUCAUUUAAUGUAUUUUAAACUCACAUUUUCAAAAACAAUUCAAGAACUUUUUGAAAUCCAUGAGCAUUUUUCAAAUUGGUGAUUUUUUUAUAAAUCCGUGAACAUAUUUAAAAUAUUUUUCAGAUUCAUGAACUUUUCGAAAUCUGAAUUAUUUUUACAAUCAUUGUUUUUUUUAAUUUGUGAUUUUUUUAAUUCAUGACUUUUUUUCGAGCCACAAUAGUUUUUCAAAUAUGAAAAAAAACUAUCUUUAGUCCAAAAGUCAACGGUCAACCGUCCGACCAGGUCAACCAUGAAGAGUGACUAGGCGUGUGCGCUUGAUGAGCGAGCUGCUCGCUCGCAUAGCUAGCCCAGCCCACACAAGGGGGCGCGUGAGCGCUGCCUCGCUACCAAGCGCAACGAGUGCUAACUAGGAGCUUUGACGGCAAAUACCAUAGCUGGCUUCUCUCUUAGUGACGAAUUUGCACAAAAUGACCCCUUUUGAAGAAAUCUAAGCCCAAGAGGCCCCUAAUUCACCUAUGGACCCCCUCCAGGGGAGGAUUGCGGUUCAUAUAUUAACUUUGUCAGUAUUGUCACGAUUUCAUCUGCUACUUAUGUCUGCCGAUAAAAAUUGGUCCAUAUAUUGCCACAUAUAAAGUAAACUAGAUAGUAGCUCGUGCAUUGUAAUGGGGCACAAUAUUUUCUACCCAACCGUUGUGAUUUAUUGAACAUUUUAUUGUUUUAUUAUAGUUACAUACUAAAUGUCGCAAUUGAAUCAAUACUUAUUGAUUUACCAAAGAAAACAUGAUUCUAUUAGUUGCUGCAUUUUUCUAAAUCGUUUGGCUUAGAUUAGGGGGGUAGCUGCAAAUCAAACAUGUGGCAACUCUAACGAGCUUGCAAAACUGGUUGUGUGACAAAGUAUUGCAAUCUUAUUAUACCAAUUAAAUAUGUCUACAUGCAUCUAGCUGUCACCAAACCAAACACUAGCUUUUUGCCUAUGUGUUUCGUCCCUCGAAUUUUACUAUGCCACGCACGACUCAAUAUUUUUCUUUGACUUUUUUGCUGUGAUACAUAAUAAUGAUCACAAAAAUUAGCUUCAACUAUAAUGAAUUUUCACUAAAUAAGAUUGAAAGAGUGAAAAAUCACUCCCUCCUAUAUGUCUAAUCCUCACAUAUGCAACAAAUAUAGAUCGGCCUAAGUAUCAGAGCCAGGCAUUCCAAACUAAAAACAUUGAAGGAGCGUAAACAUCAAGAACCACCAUCACCCAAAAACAAAUGAAGCAAGGACUAAAACUAUAAAUUCAAGAACUUGUAGGGGCCACACGGACUGUUCGGAAAAAAAAAAUACCUUGAGAGCUGUGAUAUUUUUAAAACGAGAUCAACCAGCACUAGCCCUUAGCGGCAUAUUUUUAUGGAAGAAAAUCUGUAAGCAUCCGGCAGAGUAUACUGCUUUAGCAUAUGACAAAUCUAUUUUUUUACGGGAGCAUAUGUACAGAUCUACAAAACACACAAUAGGUGGUAGUUAAAAUUAAAAUGUAUGGCCAUAAAUGGUAAGGGUAGCACACAUCUCAAAGCUUUCCCCGACGCUGGAUUCUUUGCUGUUACCUACCGGGUGGGCACCCCAGAAAAAUCGUGUUCGUGUCCACCGGCCGUAUCGAUGCGUUUCUGAUAAACCGCUCGCCGCUCCCUACCCUUGCUAAGCUCACGGCAAUCCAGUCGUCGUCGUCGUCGUCACAGACCACGUGAGUUUUCUUGUAGCAAUCCAUGGCGUCGCCGGAUCGACCUUUGGCUCGUUGCACGUACUCCCACCGAUCUACUUGCGGCACAUAUUUGUCGCCUUUUUCAUUUGGAUGCAGCUGCAUCGCGUUCGGUUUGACCCCAUGGCUUCGGCAGCUUGUGCGUGCCGCUACAUAAGCUGGUGUGCUCUCCCAGCAGCUCCAUCACUCCACCGCCACCCUCGUACAAUGGAGGCUUCACGCAAGCUCCUCUCGGCGGCGAUCCUCCUGGUGCUGCUGCUGGCGGGCACCGGGGAGAUGGGAGGCCCGGUGGCGGUGGCGGAGGCGCGGACGUGCGAGGCGAAGAGCCACAGGUUCAGGGGCCCCUGCGUGCGCCACCGCAACUGCGCCAACGUCUGCAAGACCGAGGGCUUCCCCGGCGGCAAGUGCCGCGGCUUCCGCCAUCGCUGCUUCUGCACCACCCACUGCCGCCAGUAACCAACCCACUACCUCUACUUCGUACGUCCGCCUAGCUGCAGCCUGCCUGCGUGCAUGCUGGCUUGCUCGCACCUUCUGCGUGUAUUGUAGUACUGUGUGUGUCCAUGAAUAAACCUCGGCCUGUCUGUCAUGGCAUGCUGAGAUGGGUAUAAGAAACGCAGGUUCCCUUUUACUCUGUGUUAAUAAUCAUUCCUUGAGUCGUCGAUUUCCCCGUUGGAUAUGUGGGUUCAAAUUUUCAUUUUUGAACUGCCCACCUGAAUUUUCAUUUCAAGCCCAAGAAUGGCAAACCGACAGAUUACAGGGCUUCUACCAGUUGAGAGAAACAGGGGUCGAUGUUGCGCACUACUUCAGACAGCGCAAGGCCGCAAGGCAUAGGUCACGCAAAAUCCUGGCAUGCGGGGAAGCCGACAGAGGAGCUUUGCUACACUUACGUAAUUGUUUUACGUAAACUCUUUAGGAAAUCAACUUGGCAACUGGUGAUUGGUUAGUAGGAAAUCAUGGGGCAGGGCCUGCAGUUAAAAUCAGGGGGACGGAAGAGAAUUAGGGCUUCUUUGAUUCAUAGGACUGCAAAAUCAGGGGAAGGUUUAUGUAACAGGCUAUGAGCAAUGCUACACCUACGUACAGUUAUUUUAGACAAACCUAACUAAUUAAGGAGUACUAGUAGAAUGCCCGUGCGUUGCCACGGGCAUUUUAAAAAAUUGACCGGUUUGUCAUGAUAAUGUUCCACUGGAAAAAACAUAUGAGGUUUAUGGAUAUAUGAUAUUCCCCCGCACACGUGGUGAUUAUGCCAAUAUUAUGACUCUGGCAAACCUCAAAAAAAAAA